Molecule: ribosomal RNA, 492 nt
Filed under: uncultured bacterium
Lineage: Bacteria
Description: partial 16S ribosomal RNA
Rfam family: Bacterial small subunit ribosomal RNA
Source: RNAcentral
AGUGAACGCUGGCGGUAGGCCUAACACAUGCAAGUCGAACGGCAGCACAGUAAGAGCUUGCUCUUACGGGUGGCGAGUGGCGGACGGGUGAGGAAUACAUCGGAAUCUACUUUUUCGUGGGGGAUAACGUAGGGAAACUUACGCUAAUACCGCAUACGACCUACGGGUGAAAGCAGGGGAUCUUCGGACCUUGCGCGAUUGAAUGAGCCGAUGUCGGAUUAGCUAGUUGGCGGGGUAAAGGCCCACCAAGGCGACGAUCCGUAGCUGGUCUGAGAGGAUGAUCAGGCACACCGGAACCUAGGCACGGUCCCGAACCCCUAGGGAGGGAGCAGUUGGGAAUAUUGGACAAUGGGCGCAAGCCUGAUCCAGCCAUACCGCGUGGGUGAAGAAGGCCUUCGGGUUGUAAAGCCCUUUUGUUGGGAAAGAAAAGCAGCAGGUUAAUACCCCGCUGUUCUGACGGUACCCAAAGAAUAAGCACCGGCUAACUUCGUG